Mytilus californianus (California mussel) is the source of this 904-nucleotide long non-coding RNA. RefSeq lists it as uncharacterized. Lineage: Eukaryota; Metazoa; Mollusca; Bivalvia; Mytilida; Mytilidae. The record is from RefSeq and is a predicted model, not a curated record. The transcript has 3 exons.
CGGUUAUCCAUAUUACAAGAUUAUUAUUUGACAACAAAAUAAUACUUACUUGCAAUCAUAAAGGAGAGCCUUCUAACUAUACGUUUGGCAACUGGGAGCAUCGCUCCGAAUUCAAAGAAUAUAUUCGAAGUUUCCGAGGGACGAAAGAUGGUAAAUUGACCAUCUUUAAAGCAGGCAACAACAACAGGCGGCAUGAAAAUGAUGGCAUUUACACGUGUAACUCGUCAAACGGUAUUCCUAAUGUACAUGGAGAUUUAUACCAGAAAGGAACUGUUCUCAUUAACGAUCAAGGUCCGCCAAUAUUUGUGAAAGCAAACAAACCAAUUCAGUUCGGACAAUACAGUCGGGAGAUUAACUUGACCGUGCUUCUGUACAACAAGUUUGGCAACAUCCAAGCAAAUAUUUCUAAAGAUAACAUAACUCUAAACAUACAGACUACUAUGAUGAAAAUUGUAACGAAUGACGUAUUUCACAAUGUUAACGUAACAGUAAAUGGUAUCAAGAUAACCUUCAAAAUAGUUUUGGAUAAAGCUGAAGAUUUUAAUGACUACACAAUAACAGCUUGUAACCAAAAAGGAUGCAAUGAGUACAUGGUACUGAUUAAAUCGGCAAGUUGUCCAGAGCCUCCAACAAAUGUGUCAGUUAUUCCCUUUGAAACAUAUCUUAAAGUUUCUUGGUGUCCAGGAUUUGACGGAGGAUUUUUUCAGACAUUUGUUAUAGAAUAUAAAACAGAAACCGCAGAAAUGUGGAGGCAGACAGAACCUGUAAUGGACAAUAUGCAGCAUAUGAUGACAGUUCUAUUAUAUGAUAUAAGUCCGAAUACUCGAUAUUAUGUUCAAGUAUUGUCAACGAAUAGAUUUGGACAAUGUAUACGUAAUAAGACGGAUUUCACUCUGGUACUGUC